This 1812-nucleotide long non-coding RNA is filed under the name Physcomitrium patens. RNAcentral's name for it is "long non-coding RNA (PPAT_LNC009078)". The record is from RNAcentral. Lineage: Eukaryota; Viridiplantae; Streptophyta; Bryopsida; Funariales; Funariaceae.
UUAUCAAAACUGCAAAUCAUAUAAAAUUUGUGGCCAAUCUGUAUCCAAAAAUCUAGACUUACUGAUUGUAGCCUCCAAAGCUCGAAUGACCUCAAAAUAAAAUCCUAAUCUCUAAUAAGGCCUCGAGCAACCUCCUUGAAAUUCAUUGGACAUGGCCUUUGACUAGACAUUGAGUCAAGCAAUUGACUUUAUCGUGAAGUAUGACAAUUGUCUUUUUGAAUUUCAAUAUAAGAAUUAUACAAGAAAACUUCCACAUUAUUACAAUUCAAUAACAACACCAACAACGAACUCCCCACCUUCCAAGUAGCUCUGGGCUUAGUUGAAUGGAUUUCGUGCGAGAUCCUUGUAACCAGCAAUUCACGCUCAGAGUCGAUGCACGAUGUGCUUGAGAUCAGCCUGAUCUUGAAACUUCCUCCGCCAGCCCACUCGUCCAUCUUGGCGACGAUGUACGUAAAAACAAAUUCAGAAGCGACCCUUCACGCGGCAACAAUUGCCCAAGGACAUUGCCUAGGCCACCACGGCAACAACACGCCUCGCUCCUCAGAAUAAAGAUACCGCAACACUCAGUCACAAUUUUUUUUUUUUUUUUUUUUUUUUUUUUGCAGCCUCCAAAGCCCAGACAAUCCACAUGAGCAAAAUAAAAUUACGGUCGAGAUCUACGCAACCCAACGCACUAGGCAACGACCACUUCAACAAUCGUGUUGUGAAUUACCACCAAUAACAACACUGGGUGCAUUCAACAACAUCAGAGGCCCCGGUGCUUGUAAAGUUUACAUACAGAUCUAUAGCGAUGCGUCGAUACACCCUCUGCAACCUCAACCAGCUACAAAAUAAUGAAAACCACCAUAAACUACUCACGACAUUCGCCUUCUUCCUGCCUCUACUAGAUUAAUCACGCUGAUCUUGAUCCUUGAACACGUCACUGUGAUCACGCUAUGGUCACCAAUUUUUUCUACCUUUCUCGCUCUCUCCAUACCCUCUCCCGUGCAUCAAGUUCAAGCCUGCAGAAUAGUCGAUCUCGACAAAAUAUUACGGUUGUUGUUGCAGCCUCCUUUGCUGCUUGUGAGCUCGUUGCCUCUCCAGCCAGCACCAAUCGCCUUAGCCAGCAAUACUGAUUUCAAGCUGGACAUCACCCAUUGAGAAUAGAACGAGAAAAUAAAAACUUGGGGGUGCCCAAGUACCACCUUCUUGGCAGCCACUCGUCGAGCUAACCACCGUAGCCAACCACUACUCCACGGCGCAGGAGGGACCCUCGAUUCUCGACGGAAUGUAAUGAACAACAAACAAAACAGUGACAAAAUGCCACGAUAAUCGCAGCGUCGAACAAGAACUUCACGUUGAUGACCAAAAACAGGCAAGAUGAUUCUGCAGCACCUCAACCGCACACAGUGAAGAUACUCUAGCUACAACCUCCGCCGGAUCAAAGAGCCCCCCUGGACGGCAGCUCGUCGUCACGCCACAGCGCAAGGACUGCCGCUCCAGCUUCGCGAAUCUGCGCACCCUCGACGUCGUCGUGGAAGCAACACCACAUACGAGGGCUUCGUCGAUCCACUCAGUAGCAGCACGAAGCCAGUUCAACACCGAGUCUUGCCCACCGGUUCAGUCGCCACGAAACAGAAAAAAGACUACAUCAAUGUCGAAUCCACUACGAAUUGGCCUCGUGGCAAGUCCAGCGAAAAAUCAAUCAUGACAGAAUGUGGUCUAUGCCACAAUCGCAGCAAAAAAAGAAAACACGCUAAACACACAUGAAAAGUAAUAGAGAUCCGCCUAAUGCAGAGCUCUUCUCCAACACACACAAUAGGGAGAGAAAAA